AUUGAACGCUGGCGACAUGCCUUACACAUGCAAGUCGAACGGCAGCACGGGAGCAAUCCUGGUGGCGCGUGGCGAACGGGUGAGUAAUGUAUCGGAACGUGCACAGUCAUGGGGGAUAACGUAGCGAAAGCUACGCUAAUACCGCAUACGAUCAUUGGAUGAAAGCGGGGGAUCGCAAGACCUCGCGCUAUUGGAGCGGCCGCUAUCCGAUUAGGUAGUUGGUGGGGUAAAGGCUCACCAAGCCGACGAUCUGUGGCUGGUCUGAGAGGACGACCAGCCACACUGAGACUGAGACACAGCCCAGACUCCUACGUGAGGCAGCAGUGGGGAAUUUUGGACAAUGGGCGCAAGCCUGAUCCAGCAAUGCCGCGUGCAGGAUGAAGGCCUUCGGGUUGUAAACUGCUUUUGUACGGAACGAAACGGCGAGCUCUAAUACAGUUUGCUAAUGACGGUACCGUAAGAAUAAGCACCGGCUAACUACGUGCCAGCCGCCGCAGUAA
This 500-nucleotide ribosomal RNA is filed under the name uncultured bacterium. Its description in RNAcentral is "partial 16S ribosomal RNA". It matches the Rfam family "Bacterial small subunit ribosomal RNA", at positions 30 to 523 of the family's 1533-position model. The record is from RNAcentral.